AUGAACGCUGGCGGCGUGCCUAAUACAUGCAAGUCGAGCGAACAGAUAAGGAGCUUGCUCCUUUGAAGUUAGCGGCGGACGGGUGAGUAACACGUGGGUAACCCACCUAUAAGACUGGGAUAACUUCGGGAAACCGGAGCUAAUACCGGAUAACAUUUAGAACCGCAUGGUUCUAAAGUGAAAGAUGGUUUUGCUAUCACUUAUAGAUGGACCCGCGCCGUAUUAGCUAGUUGGUAAGGUAACGGCUUACCAAGGCGACGAUACGUAGCCGACCUGAGAGGGUGAUCGGCCACACUGGAACUGAGACACGGUCCAGACUCCUACGGGAGGCAGCAGUAGGGAAUCUUCCGCAAAGGGCGAAAGCCUGACGGAGCAACGCCGCGUGAGUGAUGAAGGGUUUCGGCUCGUAAAACUCUGUUAUUAGGGAAGAACAAAUGUGUAAGUAACUGUGCACAUCUUGACGGUACCUAAUCAGAAAGCCACGGCUAACUACGUG
This 496-nucleotide ribosomal RNA is filed under the name uncultured bacterium. Its description in RNAcentral is "partial 16S ribosomal RNA". It matches the Rfam family "Bacterial small subunit ribosomal RNA", at positions 29 to 507 of the family's 1533-position model. The record is from RNAcentral.